Molecule: small nucleolar RNA, 77 nt
Organism: Catagonus wagneri (Chacoan peccary)
Lineage: Eukaryota; Metazoa; Chordata; Mammalia; Artiodactyla; Tayassuidae
Gene: SNORD69
Product: small nucleolar RNA, C/D box 69
Source: Ensembl
ACCACGAAGCAAAUGAUGAUAAACUGGAACUGACAAGCUAUGCUGAGUUUGUUCAAUCCAACCCUGAGCUUCGUGUU